RNAcentral lists this ribosomal RNA (254 nucleotides) under uncultured bacterium. Its description in RNAcentral is "partial 16S ribosomal RNA". It matches the Rfam family "Bacterial small subunit ribosomal RNA", at positions 524 to 776 of the family's 1533-position model. The record is from RNAcentral.
UACGUAGGUGGCAAGCGUUGUCCGGAUUUACUGGGCGUAAAGAGCGCGCAGGCGGUCGUUCAAGUCGCGUGUGAAAGCCCCCGGCUCAACUGGGGAGGGUCACGCGAUACUGAUCGACUCGAAGGCAGGAGAGGGUAGUGGAAUUCCCGGUGUAGUGGUGAAAUGCGUAGAUAUCGGGAGGAACACCAGUGGCGAAGGCGACUACCUGGCCUGUUUCUUAACGCUGAGGCGCGAAAGCUAGGGGAGCAAACGGG